Molecule: small nucleolar RNA, 182 nt
Filed under: Solanum tuberosum (potato)
Lineage: Eukaryota; Viridiplantae; Streptophyta; Magnoliopsida; Solanales; Solanaceae
Description: snoRNA Plant_U3
Rfam family: Plant small nucleolar RNA U3
About the family: Small nucleolar RNAs (snoRNAs) are involved in the processing and modification of rRNA in the nucleolus.
Source: Rfam by way of RNAcentral
ACGACCUUACUUGAACAAAUUAUGUUCUAUAGGUUCGUAGUAUUGUAUCCUCGAUUUCUAAGCAGACAGAAAACUAAGUUUGGUAGAUGAAUCGUGGCCAUUAGAUCAGAGUGUGAUUAACAACCUUCGAGUCGUGGUGUCAUAGUCGUAGAUGAUCGUUCUUAUCUCCAAUCUGACAAAAA